This 74-nucleotide transfer RNA is filed under the name Planctomycetota bacterium. RNAcentral's name for it is "Planctomycetes bacterium (groundwater metagenome) tRNA-Glu". It matches the Rfam family "tRNA". Rfam says of the family: Transfer RNA (tRNA) molecules are approximately 80 nucleotides in length. Their secondary structure includes four short double-helical elements and three loops (D, anti-codon, and T loops). Further hydrogen bonds mediate the characteristic L-shaped molecular structure. tRNAs have two regions of fundamental functional importance: the anti-codon, which is responsible for specific mRNA codon recognition, and the 3' end, to which the tRNAs corresponding amino acid is attached (by aminoacyl-tRNA synthetases). tRNAs cope with the degeneracy of the genetic code in two manners: having more than one tRNA (with a specific anti-codon) for a particular amino acid; and 'wobble' base-pairing, i.e. permitting non-standard base-pairing at the 3rd anti-codon position. Lineage: Bacteria; Pseudomonadati; Planctomycetota. The record is from RNAcentral.
GCCCCGAUCGUCUAACCUGGUUAGGACAUUGGCUUUUCAAGCCAGCAAUACGGGUUCAAAUCCCGUUCGGGGCG